AUCCUGGCUCAGAAUCAACGCUGGCGGCGUGCCUAACACAUGCAAGUCGAACGCGGUUACCCCGCAAGGGGUAACUGAGUGGCGAACGGGUGAGUAACACGUGGGUGACCUACCUUCGAGUGGGGGAUAACGUCCCGAAAGGGACGCUAAUACCGCAUAACAUCCUGCCUUUGAACAGGCGGAGAUCAAAGCUGGGGAUCGCAAGACCUGGCGCUUGAUGAGGGGCCCGCGUCCGAUUAGCUAGUUGGUGAGGUAACGGCUCACCAAGGCGACGAUCGGUAACCGGCCUGAGAGGGCGGACGGUCACACUGGGACUGAGACACGGCCCAGACUCCUACGGGAGGCAGCAGUGGGGAAUUGUUCACAAUGGGCGCAAGCCUGAUGACGCAACGCCGCGUGGAGGAUGAAGGUCUUCGGAUUGUAAACUCCUGUUGCCCGGGACGAAAUGCUCCAACCUAAUACGUUGGAGUUUGACGGUACCGGGUGAGGAAGCCCCGGCUAACUCUGUGCCAGCAGCCGCGGUAAUACAGAGGGGGCAAGCGUUGUUCGGAAUUACUGGGCGUAAAGGGCGCGUAGGCGGCCUGCUAAGUCGAACGUGAAAUCCCUGGGCUCAACCCAGGAACUGCGUCCGAUACUGGUUGGCUUGAAUUCGGGAGAGGGAUGCGGAAUUCCAGGUGUAGCGGUGAAAUG
This 690-nucleotide ribosomal RNA is filed under the name uncultured Acidobacteriota bacterium. RNAcentral's name for it is "bacterial SSU rRNA". It matches the Rfam family "Bacterial small subunit ribosomal RNA", at positions 16 to 688 of the family's 1533-position model. Lineage: Bacteria; Pseudomonadati; Acidobacteriota. The record is from RNAcentral.